UCGGAUUAGCUAGUUGGCGGGGUAAAGGCCCACCAAGGCGACGAUCCGUAGCUGGUCUGAGAGGAUGAUCAGCCACACUGGAACUGACACACGGCCCAAACUCCUACGGGAGGCAGCAGUGGGGAAUAUUGGACAAUGGGCGCAACCCUGAUCCAGCCAUACCGCGUGGGUGAAGAAGGCCUUCGGGUUGUAAACCCUUUUGUUGGGAAAAAUCCAGCUGGCUAAUACCCGGUUGGGAUGACGGACCCAAAGAAUAGCACCGGCUAACUUCGUGCCGCAGCCGCGGUAAUACGAAGGGUGCAAGCGUUCUCGGAAUUCUGGGCGUAAAGCGUGCGUAGGUGGUCGUUUAGUCCGUUGUGAAACCCCUGGGCUCAACCUGGGAACUGCGUGGAUCUGGGCGACUAAGUGUGGAGAGGGUACGGAAUUCCUGGUGUA
Molecule: ribosomal RNA, 435 nt
Filed under: Stenotrophomonas maltophilia
Lineage: Bacteria; Pseudomonadati; Pseudomonadota; Gammaproteobacteria; Lysobacterales; Lysobacteraceae
Description: bacterial SSU rRNA
Rfam family: Bacterial small subunit ribosomal RNA
Source: RNAcentral